AAAAGAGCAAAAUAUUGGAAGAUUGGUUACAAAUAUAAUCAAUCCAUCAUCAUGAAUGUACCCUCUCAAGGAUUGAUGUUUCUAGGGGGAAGGAACUAAAGAUACCUACAGACGGGAAAGUUCAAAGAAUUAAAUACCGAAUCACGAAAAAGAAUUUCAACUAGCAAAGCUCGAUUCUAGAAUGCAACAAAGAUACGAAAUUUACAGUCGAAACGAACCCGAGAGAAAUGCGCUGCUAUCAUUCUCAGAAUGGAAGAAGAGCAAUGGAAAGUAUGGCAAGGUUCAAGAACAAGAAGCCUGCUCCAGCUCCAAGCUUAGGUUGUCCAUUGGGUUUAGAAGUUGGAGAUGCUGCUGUAGGGCCACUGUCGACAGCAGGUGCUGGGGCUUUGGCCGAAACCGGAGGCAAUGGUGGCUCAGCUACGUCUUUGUCAUUCAAAACCGGGCUCGGAGCUGUCUUCGGAGGCAGGUAGUCUGGAGUAACAAGUUGCAACAAGCUACCAGGCUGGACAGGGCUCAUGUAAUUAGGU
RNAcentral lists this unclassified non-coding RNA (527 nucleotides) under Hevea brasiliensis (rubber tree). The record is from RNAcentral. Lineage: Eukaryota; Viridiplantae; Streptophyta; Magnoliopsida; Malpighiales; Euphorbiaceae.